UGGAUAUCUGCCUUUUGGUUCGGAAUAACCCCGGGAAACUGGGACUAAUACCGGAUGGUUCCUUCGGGAUAAAGAUUUAUCGCCAAAAGAUGAGUCCGCGUCCGAUUAGCUAGUUGGUGAGGUAAUGGCUCACCAAGGCGACGAUCGGUAGCUGGUCUGAGAGGAUGGCCAGCCACAUUGGGACUGAGACACGGCCCAGACUCCUACGGGAGGCAG
RNAcentral lists this ribosomal RNA (216 nucleotides) under uncultured bacterium. RNAcentral describes it as "partial 16S ribosomal RNA". It matches the Rfam family "Bacterial small subunit ribosomal RNA", at positions 118 to 351 of the family's 1533-position model. The record is from RNAcentral.